CCUACGGGCGGCUGCAGUGAGGAAUAUUGGUCAAUGGGCGCAAGCCUGAACCAGCCAAGUCGCGUGAGGGAUGACGGUCCUAUGGAUUGUAAACCUCUUUUGUCGGGGAGCAAGGCCCGCCACGUGUGGCGGGAAGGAGAGUACCCGAAGAAAAAGCAUCGGCUAACUCCGUGCCAGCAGCCGCGGUAAUACGGAGGAUGCGAGCGUUAUCCGGAUUUAUUGGGUUUAAAGGGAGCGUAGGUGGAUUGUUAAGUCAGUUGGGAAAGUUUGCGGCUCAACCGUAAAAUUGCAGUUGAAAAUGGCAGUCUUGAGUGCAGUAGAGGUAGGCGGAAUGCGUGGUGUAGCGGUGAAAUGCUUAGAUAUCACGAAGAACUCCGAUUGCGAAGGCAGUUCACUGGACUGCAACUGACACUGAGGCUCGAAAGUGUGGGUAUCGAACAGGAUUAGAUACCCUGGUAGUC
Molecule: ribosomal RNA, 461 nt
Filed under: uncultured bacterium
Lineage: Bacteria
Description: partial 16S ribosomal RNA
Rfam family: Bacterial small subunit ribosomal RNA
Source: RNAcentral